Molecule: long non-coding RNA, 99 nt
Organism: Alosa sapidissima (American shad)
Lineage: Eukaryota; Metazoa; Chordata; Actinopteri; Clupeiformes; Clupeidae
Exons: 3
Source: RefSeq, a predicted model, not a curated record
GUAGUUUUGAUUCCCAAGUGCCAUCCCAAUAAAAAGUCUGGACCCAGCUGGCCCCCCCUAUAAAAUAAUCCUGGCUACGCCCCUGCCUUAAAAGUUGGA